CACACCCUCUGCUCAGCUGACGCGGGGUGCCCUAACUCCUGCUGAGGGCAGUGAAGGGGCGGGAUUGCUCUACGCUGUGCUCUUUUUUUUUUUUUUUCCCAUUUAUCCUUUUCCCGGGUCAUACUUAGCUGUUGCCUUUGGGCUGGGAAAAAAGCGGUUUAAAUAGUGAUCAUCCCAUUACGCUGGUUGCAGUUUAAGUAUUUGAGGAAGGGUGUUUGUUUUUAUUUUACAUGUUGAUUUUUUUUUUUCUCCUAAAAAGCCAUGCCUCAGAAGGAAAACCUGAUUUAGAACCAUUUCUCCUUUUACUUUGAUUUAAUUUGGAAAUAACUGGUUCUUUAGUCUGUUUUGUAAAAACAGCUUCGUGGUGAAGCACAAAUGUAACUGUUAGAAUGAAUGAAAGCUGAAGAAAUGUUCUUCUCCCUACGCCUCACUCCCAGUUUUAAAUGUAUUAAAUUUUCCAAAGUUCUGCUGACCUUUUUUUUUUGUUUUACUAGUAUUAAUUUAGUUUCAGGUCUCCACUUUAUAUAAUAAGAGCUCUUUUGACAUGUUAAUUAUUUUAAUCUCUUGUUCCUUGAAAAUAAUUUUCAAUUAUGAAUUUCAAAUAAAAAACAGGCAGUGACCAAAACCUGAAUUGCCUCUAAGCGUCUGAUUAGGUACCAGCAUGGGGCUGACACCUGCACGUGGGUCUGCACGGAGGAGAGGCCUCCUCGGGGGCUUCUCUGGCCCUGGGCCCAGCAGGGGCUCCCCUUGCCUCGGCUCCAGGCAAAGAGGCCCAUGUCCGGACAGGCUUCCCUCAACACUCAGGAGACCGUCCCCCGCGGGAGAGAGGCCCCAGGGUUCACCCACGAGUCCUCAGAGAAGGAGCAUUAGAGUCCAUCGUGAUAAUCAGGGUUGGGCCCUGUGACCCAAACCCCAGGCAAUGCAAGUGGUUUCGGAAGUCUUGAGCAGGCUGUGACCUGCCGGACCCUCCAGGGGUCUCGGCUCGCGGGCAGGUGUAGACGCCCUCUUGGGUGGGCAGCUUGGCCUGUGAACCACCACGGCAAGGACGCUUUGGUGAAACUGCAGCGCUCGGCCCUGACCCCGGCUCACCCAGCGGGUAACGGGCGGGGGCUCGGCUAGGAGGACCCAGCUGGCUAGGGCUUGAAGGGCCACCGCGGGGCGGUCGCAGGGCAGUCCUGAGGCGCCAUCAGCCUCUUGCCGGCGCCGUCACUGCCUCGUGCGCGUCCUUCAUGGACGAGCCCUGGCCCCGCCUCAGCACAGCCUCGCCCCUGACGCCGCCUCCGGACGCCCACCCGCAGGGCCCGCUGGCUCCCCAGCCGCACGGCCUCCGCCCCGCUUCCUGCCUGGACGCCCUCGGGAGUCACCCUGCCCUCGAGGGGACACGGGAGGGACAGCCGCAGCCGCAGGCUUGACCGCACGGCGCUGGUUCCCGGGUGCGCUGAUCCAUUUCAGUGACUGGACCUCCGAGGUGACGAAAAGAAAGCUGCGGGAAGAGACUGCCCCGCCCACACCGGCCUCGGCCCCGCCCGCCUCGAGUUCGGUCCCCGCCCCCAGCUGUUAUUGGCUACCAACCCGGAUGUCCCGUUCACUGGCGCGUCUCAAGGAGGUGGGCGAGGAGCUACUGGCAAAGUCUCGGCGCUCAUUGGCCCCUCUGCCCGUCAGUCAUGCGGCGCGGGCCUCAGGAGGCGGGUCGGGCGGUUCCUGAAUAUGGCGGAAGGUGAAGGCUGGAGGCCGCCGCGCCCGUGCGAGGCCUACCGCGCCGAGUGGGAGCUUUGCCGCAGCGCCGGGCACUUCCUGCGCCACUACUACGUCCACGGCGAGCGGCCGGCCUGCGGGCAGUGGCGGCGCGACCUGGUCAGCUGCCGCGAGUGGGAGGAGCGCCGCAGCGCCGAAGCCCAGGUCAGUCUGACAGCCAGGCUGGGAGAGGGCGUGGUACAGGCACGGGAGACCAGUCAGGAGGGGCUCUUGGUCCGUCCGUCCAGCAGACACUUCCCGCUUGGACGCUCUUGGACGUACAGCAGCGGUUAGAACACAAUCUCUGCCCUGCCCUGGAGCUGAUGGGGGGAAGAGCGGAGCGGAGCUGUGAGGGUGCAGAGCUCGCAGGACUGCGGUCCCUGUGUGAGAGCGAGCGGGCCAGAGUUCGGGCUGCACGUAAGCACGGCCUGGUGUGGGCACCCAGGCAGAGCCCCCCAGAAGACUGGCACCUCCCUCUGCCUGAGGACAAGGACGGGUGACCGACCCAAACAGUCCAGAGGGCCCUGGGAGCUUCCGCCUAGCGUGGGACACGGAGCCCUCACCUCCAGCCUCGCCUGCCCUGCCAUCACCACCAGGCUCGGAGCCGGUCCACCCAGCAUGCAGUGUCCCUGUGGGCAUCCGGGCAGGCCUGGGGACAGCGGCCCAGGACGCUAUCCCAAGGGCUGGGCUCCUCAGAUGAACCCUCCAGGCGCAGCUCUGACCCGUGGGGACACUCGGGGGGUAUCAGGCGGCUCCCCCCCGGCCCUGCUCUGGUAACCACCACGUACCUCGGCCAGGGUUCCCUCCUGCCACGGCCACUCACCGCUCCUUCCCUCAGAAUUUCACCCAGGCGUUUUUAGAAAACAUGGAUUAUAUCAAAAGACAUUUCACAGGUUUGAUUCUAAAUAGAGACUGUAAAUUACAUCCAGGCUUUAAUAUUGAGUUAGACGCAGGCAGUGUUAGCAUUUUGUACACUUACGUUCUUGUAGAUGCUUUUAAAAUACAUGUCCUUGAACCAAGAAGAA
Molecule: RNA transcript, 2759 nt
Organism: Bubalus bubalis (water buffalo)
Lineage: Eukaryota; Metazoa; Chordata; Mammalia; Artiodactyla; Bovidae
Gene: C17H22orf39
Gene name: chromosome 17 C22orf39 homolog
Exons: 4
Source: RefSeq, a predicted model, not a curated record